RNAcentral lists this ribosomal RNA (441 nucleotides) under uncultured bacterium. RNAcentral describes it as "partial 16S ribosomal RNA". It matches the Rfam family "Bacterial small subunit ribosomal RNA", at positions 338 to 795 of the family's 1533-position model. The record is from RNAcentral.
CCUACGAGAGGCAGCAGUGGGGAAUAUUGCACAAUGGAGGAAACUCUGAUGCAGCGACGCCGCGUGAGUGAAGAAGUAUUUCGUUAUGUAAAGCUCUAUCAGCAGGGAAGAAAGAGACGGUUCCCGAACUAAAAGCCCCCGGCUAACUACGUGCAGGCAGCGCCGGUAAUACUUAGGGGGCAGCCGUUAUCCGGAUUCACGGGGUGUAAGGGGAAGGUAGGUGGCGGUGCAAGCCGGAAGUGAAAGCCCAAAGCUCAACCAUGGGAAUGCUUUUGAACCUGCGCAGCUAGAGUGCGGGAGGGGCAAGUGGAAUUCUUGGUGUAGCGGUGAAAUGCGGAGAUAUUAGGAGGAACACCGGUGGCGAAGGCGGCUUGCUGGACUGUAACUGACGCUGAGGCUCGAAAGCGUGGGGAGCGAACAGGAUUAGAUACCCCUGUAGUC